Molecule: long non-coding RNA, 1639 nt
Organism: Dreissena polymorpha
Lineage: Eukaryota; Metazoa; Mollusca; Bivalvia; Myida; Dreissenidae
Exons: 6
Source: RefSeq, a predicted model, not a curated record
GUGAAAGUAGAUGUCGCCGCCAUUUUGUGUGGUUGGUAAACUGUGGUUUGUGUCCAAAUAAUUAGACGACACCAAACGCAAAGCCUAUCCCAAGGCAAUGCCCCAUUUGCGUGGUAAAGGGCAAGACGACUAUGUACCUCCAGGUAGCAGACCAGGUUCGCUGGGUGCAAGCACUGACGGCAGAACCCAUGAAGCCGUUAAUGUCAGAGGCACGUGCUAAGACCGGGCGGAAAGUGAAGAAGACAAAGCCGAGGAAUUACUACUCUUGCUGGCUGUGCGACCGGUCGGUGAUUGACCGGCUGCGUCAUCUAGAACAGGACCACAAAAUGGAGGCUGGGACAUUCAAUAACGUUUACACAAGAGGGCCGUUUCCGGAAGGUCACAAAAACUUAAGGAAAGGUGACCAGCAGACUCGCCACUCAUGAUGACUCGGCAUAGGAGGAUGAGAAGGUGGAGGAUGAGGAGGAGGAGGAAGAGGACUUUUAGUUCCUAACGCGGAAAUACUGCCUGAGCCUGGAACCCAAUGCAAGGGUAAUGCAUGGUCGGAGAAGCUGCAAGUAACAAUAUGGAUUGCUUAUAUAGUGUAAAGUCUCGAGUCCGUUUACGGGGUAGAACCAGUACUUGGUGCAUUAAGCCCUGUUUUCCCAGAUUUUUUUUAAUUAUAUACAUUUCAAUUGAUAGUCAUUAUUAUUGCAACAUGUAUAUAUCUUAAAAACCGUGAGGAAAUAUAUAUAAGUACAUUAAAAUUUAAGAUAAAUAUUAUUUAUUUAUAAUACUUUGGAAUUACUGGUUGUGAGUUAAUUAUAUGCGAUUUCACCAUCUAGCAUAGAAUAUCAUCCAAUAAUACUUGUUGCAGUUUCAAUCGUUGACUCAUAUGUAGGCUACAUGUUCCCGCUGAGCAGGCCAGGUGGGUUGACAAACGAGUCGAAAACACAAGAGGUCAACAUGAAGAUCAACCGGUUCCUGGCCCUGUCUGGCUACUUGGAAGGAGUGGUGUUGAGUGACGUGCUGUUGUGGAAGGGCCAUAUGGAGGUCCACGACAGUUCCUCAACACCACUCACCAGCUGAAGACGGUGCAGACUGCACUAACGGCAAUCAAGAACUUCCUGAAGUGGUGCGAGGGAAUGGUCUAGCGGACGCCCGCGCAUUGAACAAUGCCGAUCUCCUUCUCACAGGCUGCCUGACCUCAACCCGCCUGGAUAUUAGCCGUCGGUUAUUCGGAGGGUAGAGGACAGUGCGGCCAUCCUGACGGACGCAAACCUGGAGCGCCACUUCACUGAGAGUGAGCAUGUAGUGAAAACGAUCAAGGUGAUCCAGGAGACCCCGCUGGCACACCUGAAAGAUAUUCGGGGGAUAAUUAUUAAACUGAUAGCGCUCUAUAACGCCUCCUGAACCGGCAGGUAGGAGUACCUAAAGAUUGAGCAGGAGACAGUGAAGGUGCUGACCUCUGUGUGGAACACUUAGCAGCUGGCAAGUUUUCAUAUUGAAGGGCAUGGUUCCCAACCGCCCAUCACACACAGAAUGUAGCUUGUCGUCUUCCGCAGUAAAAACUGUGUUCCAGACGGCUGGUGAUGCAUUUCAAGAAAAGCCAUCAGAAUCUUGCAAUGAUCUGUAUACUUAAUAAAUGACAAAACAACAA